This is a long non-coding RNA of Betta splendens (Siamese fighting fish), 1434 nucleotides long. RefSeq lists it as uncharacterized. NCBI's taxonomy places the organism in Eukaryota, Metazoa, Chordata, Actinopteri, Anabantiformes, Osphronemidae. The record is from RefSeq and is a predicted model, not a curated record. The transcript is spliced from 2 exons.
GUCCGUCUAAGAGGAUGUGUGGCGCGGCAGCUGCUGACUCUCUGCCUCCUCCCACCGGUCGUCUCUGGGUUCUGGCUGCGGAGAUCGCCUACUUCCACGUCCAAACGCUGGUUCCAACGUCGCCCGUCUGCAGACUAAAGAGCAGAGCUGUCGUUAUCCCAGUGGAGCCAGGAGUUCAGACGUGGAUCGAUUGGCUGCUGUGGAGAACACGGGCCUCAGCCGGCAGCUUCCAGCUGGAGCGGAGCUGCAUCUGCAGGAGAGCUCAUUGUUCUGCUCCCACGGCGCUUCAUCUCUCACGGUGUCGCCUUCCUGCCUGCAUGAAGCGCAGAGCUCUGCGUGCUCACAUACUGUGGAUGUUGUGGGUCUACAACAUAGUGUUUACUCAGGAUGUUGUGUAUGUGUGAAAACCACAAUACCAAUAGAAGGAUGCUGGCGUGCACAGAGAAUUACCCAAAAAAGCUGCUGCAGAGGCUAAACAUGAUGCAAAUGAUGACCUCACAAAGCAGAGCAGAUGUGCAUUGGGCCUGGUUCUGUAAGAGCCCUGCAUCAUUUUAUAAGAGGAAGUGUCUGACUAAUAACUUUAUAUAAGGUCAACAAUUAUGACAUCAAGCAUUAAAGAGUGUGCCUGGUCGACACUGACCUCUAGUGCAGACUUGGAGAAUGUGCGAGCAGAGCGGAGGCUACAGACUCGCAGCUGGAGGUUGUGAGGACGUUAUUAGUAGUUGCAGGGUGUUUAUUUAAGGCUGAUGUCCAACUAAAACACUCUCCGCAUCAGUGGGAAAGCGUUUACAGGCAACAUUAUCUGCACAUUAUAGAGAAACUAACCCGACGUCACCACGUGGCCAAUUGAAGGUACUACAACGCUUAUUAAAGAGGGAUGACAGUGUUCUAAAACAUUGUUUCCUCAUUAUAAUAUACUUACUUAUUGUGCAUUAGACAGAGUAUGAACCAGAAGGACUCACACCAGACAAACCCUGGAUUAUUCUGCUAUGUUGUGUCAAGAUUUUAUUUGACAGCAUUUCAGAAUCUCUUACAGGUAAACAAGAUUUUUGCAAAAGUUAAUAUAUCCAUAGUGUUGCAUUUCAUAAAAAUAGUUGCUGCACUUACAGUCUUUGUGACCAUCAAUAGUACACGGAAUCAUAUUUAUAGAUAUUUGUUCUGGGUCUACACACUGCUAUAAACACUACACAGUGAUAGUGAGCCGCUUGGUUCACGCGUGCGUCCGUAUCUCCACACACGCCGCUAGGUGCCGUUUUUUUUUUCUUCUUGCUUCCCAUAGAAAACUAUGUACAAUUUGGCUCAAUGGAGACAGCUCAGAGGUGGAAAGCAGCGAGUUGUGCAAAGGCAGAGAAAGAAAACUAGGAAAAUCAAAUUGAAUCUAAAUUACACACGUAUUGUCGCCACAAAAUAAAUGAGCAGUCUGGUGGAACGGGC